UGGAUAAGGCUGUCUUAGGCAGGACACAGAACACACACAGAAAUUCCUGAUCCUGUCCUGGGAGGGAUGCUGCCAGGUGGAGUAUUGCAGAGUAACCUGCCAUGCGUUACCUGGCAAACUUCAUAGAGUAAUUUGUACUGCUCCUCUUGCUUCUGCGCGCUGCACAAGCUGCAUCCCAUGUUUGGAGGAAUGUCAAAGAAAGCCUUCAGGACCGCCAGCGCCUGGGAAGCCGCUCCCUCAGCAUGCAGGCAUUGAAGGGCUCUCUGAGAGCCUCAGAGCCAUCACCACCUACCUCCUUCUUUAGAUAAAAGGUGAACUGUCUGAGAAAGACUCCCACAUCCCCUGUCAAGAGGUGUCAUGGGAGUGCAAGAAUAAUGCGUCCUUUUUCUGGGAGCUGAGACACACCUGAAAAGAGGCUUUAAGCUCCCUGAGGCAGGCUUACCAUCUCCAACCCUGGGAGCCAAGGAAACCCAGGCCAGCUAGCUGGAUGAAUUAGAUAGAAGAUCACCUGGUGGCUCCACAAAGCCAUGAAUGCCAGUGCA
Phodopus roborovskii (desert hamster) is the source of this 542-nucleotide long non-coding RNA. RefSeq lists it as uncharacterized. Lineage: Eukaryota; Metazoa; Chordata; Mammalia; Rodentia; Cricetidae. The transcript is spliced from 3 exons. The record is from RefSeq and is a predicted model, not a curated record.